Molecule: ribosomal RNA, 253 nt
Filed under: uncultured bacterium
Lineage: Bacteria
Description: partial 16S ribosomal RNA
Rfam family: Bacterial small subunit ribosomal RNA
Source: RNAcentral
UACGUAGGGGCCUAGCGUUGUCCGGAUUUAUUGGGCGUAAAGAGCUCGUAGGCGGUUUGGUAAGUCGGGUGUGAAAUCUCACAGCUUAACUGUGAAACUGCAUUGGAUACUAUCCGGCUCGAGGAAUGGAGGGGAGACUGGAAUACUUGGUGUAGCAGUGAAAUGCGUAGAUAUCAAGUGGAACACCAGUGGCGAAGGCGAGUCUCUGGACAUUUCCUGACGCUGAGGCACGAAAGCCAGGGGAGCAAACGGG